This 492-nucleotide ribosomal RNA is filed under the name uncultured bacterium. RNAcentral describes it as "partial 16S ribosomal RNA". It matches the Rfam family "Bacterial small subunit ribosomal RNA", at positions 29 to 507 of the family's 1533-position model. The record is from RNAcentral.
AGUGAACGCUGGCGGUAGGCCUAACACAUGCGAGUCGAACGGCAGCACAGUAAGAGCUUGCUCUUACGGGUGGCGAGUGGCGGACGGGUGAGGAAUACAUCGGAAUCUACUUUUUCGUGGGGGAUAACGUAAGGAAACUUACGCUAAUACCGCAUACGACCUACGGGUGAAAGCAGGGGAUCUUCGGACCUUGCGCGAUUGAAUGAGCCGAUGUCGGAUUAGCUAGUUGGCGGGGUAAAGGCCCACCAAGGCGACGAUCCGUAGCUGGUCUGAGAGGAUGAUCAGCCACACUGGAACUGAGACACGGUCCAGACUCCUACGGGAGGCAGCAGUGGGGAAUAUUGGACAAUGGGCGCAAGCCUGAUCCAGCCAUACCGCGUGGGUGAAGAAGGCCUUCGGGUUGUAAAGCCCUUUUGUUGGGAAAGAAAAGCAGCAGGUUAAUACCCCGCUGUUCUGACGGUACCCAAAGAAUAAGCACCGGCUAACUUCGUG